CCCAAGAGAUCGGGAUAACACCUGGAAACAGAUGCUAAUACCGGAUAACAACAGAUGAUGCCUAUCAACUGUUUAAAAGAUGGUUCUGCUAUCACUCUUGGAUGGACCUGCGGUGCAUUAGCUAGUUGGUAGGGUAACGGCCUGCCAAGGCGAUGAUGCAUAGCCGAGUUGAGAGACUGAUCGGCCACAUUGGGACUGAGACACGGCCCAAACUCCUACGGGAGGCAGCAGC
Molecule: ribosomal RNA, 232 nt
Filed under: uncultured Lactobacillus sp.
Lineage: Bacteria; Bacillati; Bacillota; Bacilli; Lactobacillales; Lactobacillaceae
Description: partial 16S ribosomal RNA
Rfam family: Bacterial small subunit ribosomal RNA
Source: RNAcentral